GUGGGGAAUAUUGGACAAUGGGCGCAAGCCUGAUCCAGCCACGCCGCGUGAGUGAUGAAGGCCUUCGGGUUGUAAAGCUCUGUGGGGAGGGACGAAAAAGGUACGUAAGAUAACGACGUGCCCUUGACGGUACCUCUUUAGCAAGCACCGGCUAACUCUGUGCCAGCAGCCGCGGUAAGACAGAGGGUGCGAACGUUGCUCGGAAUCACUGGGCGUAAAGCGCGUGUAGGCUGAUAUGUAAGUCAGGUGUGAAAUCCCUGGGCUCAACCCAGGAACUGCAUCUGAAACUGCAUGUCUGGAGUGUCGGAGAGGGAAGCGGAAUUCCUGGUGUAGAGGUGAAAUUCGUAGAUAUCAGGAGGAACACCGGUGGCGAAGGCGGCUUCCUGGACGACUACUGACGCUGAGACGCGAAAGCGUGGGGAGCAAACAGG
RNAcentral lists this ribosomal RNA (431 nucleotides) under uncultured bacterium. Its description in RNAcentral is "bacterial SSU rRNA". It matches the Rfam family "Bacterial small subunit ribosomal RNA", at positions 354 to 776 of the family's 1533-position model. The record is from RNAcentral.